This is a non-coding RNA of Glossina fuscipes fuscipes, 46 nucleotides long. NCBI's taxonomy places the organism in Eukaryota, Metazoa, Arthropoda, Insecta, Diptera, Glossinidae. The record is from Rfam.
UCAAUGGAUUCAAUUGAAUCCACAUAACAUCUAUAGUAAGGAGAUC